This 492-nucleotide ribosomal RNA is filed under the name uncultured bacterium. Its description in RNAcentral is "partial 16S ribosomal RNA". It matches the Rfam family "Bacterial small subunit ribosomal RNA", at positions 29 to 507 of the family's 1533-position model. The record is from RNAcentral.
AGUGAACGCUGGCGGUAGGCCUAACACAUGCAAGUCGAACGGCAGCACAGUAAGAGCUUGCUCUUACGGGUGGCGAGUGGCGGACGGGUGAGGAAUACAUCGGAAUCUACUUUUUCGUGGGGGAUAACGUAGGGAAACUUACGCUAAUACCGCAUACGACCUACGGGUGAAAGCAGGGGAUCUUCGGACCUUGCGCGAUUGAAUGAGCCGAUGUCGGAUUAGCUAGUUGGCGGGGUAAAGGCCCACCAAGGCGACGAUCCGUAGCUGGUCUGAGAGGAUGAUCAGCCACACUGGAACUGAGACACGGUCCAGACUCCUACGGGAGGCAGCAGUGGGGAAUAUUGGACAAUGGGCGCAAGCCUGAUCCAGCCAUACCGCGUGGGCGAAGAAGGCCUUCGGGUUGUAAAGCCCUUUUGUUGGGAAAGAAAAGCAGCGGGUUAAUACCCCGCUGUUCUGACGGUACCCAAAGAAUAAGCACCGGCUAACUUCGUG